CCUACGGGAGGCAGCAGUGGGGAAUAUUGGGCAAUGGGCGCAAGCCUGACCCAGCAACGCCGCGUGAAGGAAGAAGGCCCUCGGGUUGUAAACUUCUUUUAUCAAGGACGAAACAAAUGACGGUACUUUAUGAAUAAGCCACGGCUAACUACGUGCCAGCAGCCGCGGUAAUACGUAGGUGGCAAGCGUUAUCCGGAUUUACUGGGUGUAAAGGGCGAGUAGGCGGGACUGCAAGUCAGAUGUGAAAACCAUGGGAUCAACCCAUGGCCUGCAUUUGAAACUGUAGUUCUUGAGUGUUUGUGAGGCAGGCGGAAUGCCGUGUGUAGCGGUGAAAUGCGUAGAUAUACGGAGGAACACCAGUGGCGAAGGCGGCCUGCUGGACAAUAACUGACGCUGAGGCGCGAAAGCGUGGGGAGCAAACAGGAUUAGAUACCCUUGUAGUC
This 443-nucleotide ribosomal RNA is filed under the name uncultured bacterium. RNAcentral describes it as "partial 16S ribosomal RNA". It matches the Rfam family "Bacterial small subunit ribosomal RNA", at positions 338 to 795 of the family's 1533-position model. The record is from RNAcentral.